AGUCGUAACAAGGUUUCCGUAGGUGAACCUGCGGAAGGAUCAUUGUCGAAACCUGCCCAGCAGAACGACCCGCGAACUUGUGUUUAUGCUCGAGCGGGGACGGCGUGGGGAGCUCUGGCUGCCCUCGUUGGCCCCCUCCUGCUGUGGGGGGUGAGCGGGAUCUCUCGCUCGCUCCUCGCAGCAGAACAACAAACCCCCGGCGCGAGCUGCGCCAAGGAAAAUUUAACGAGAGCGAGCGCUCCCGCCGCCCCGGACACGGAUCGACGUGCGGGAUGCGUCUCCUUCUUUCAAUGAAAAUCAAAAACGACUCUCGGCAACGGAUAUCUCGGCUCUCGCAUCGAUGAA
This 345-nucleotide unclassified non-coding RNA is filed under the name Trichilia mazanensis. RNAcentral describes it as "sequence contains 18S rRNA gene, ITS1, 5.8S rRNA gene, ITS2, 28S rRNA gene". The stretch from base 1 to 45 matches the Rfam family "Eukaryotic small subunit ribosomal RNA", at positions 1787 to 1831 of the family's 1831-position model. The record is from RNAcentral. Lineage: Eukaryota; Viridiplantae; Streptophyta; Magnoliopsida; Sapindales; Meliaceae.